This 462-nucleotide ribosomal RNA is filed under the name uncultured bacterium. Its description in RNAcentral is "bacterial SSU rRNA". It matches the Rfam family "Bacterial small subunit ribosomal RNA", at positions 340 to 786 of the family's 1533-position model. The record is from RNAcentral.
UACGGGAGGCAGCAGUGGGGAAUAUUGGACAAUGGGCGAAAGCCUGAUCCAGCCAUGCCGCAUGAGUGAAGAAGGCCUUAGGGGUUGUAAAGUACUUUCAUCGGGGAGGAAAAAAACAAAAACUAAUAAUUUUAUUUUCUUGACGUUACCCGAAAAAGAAGCACCGGCUAACUCCGUGCCAGCAGCCGCGGUAAUACGGAGGGUGCUAGCGUUAAUCAGAAUUACUGGGCGUAAAGAGCACGUAGGUGGUUUUUUUAAGUUCAGAUGUGAAAUCCCUGGGCUUAACCUAGGAACUGCAUUUUGAAACUGAAAUACUAGAGUAUCGUAGAGGGAGGUAGAAUUCUAGGUGUAGCGGUGAAAUGCGUAGAUAUCUGGAGGAAUACCUGUGGCGAAAGCGGCCUCCUAAACGAAUACUGACACUGAGGGUGCGAAAGCGUGGGGAGCAAACAGGGAUUAGAUACC